Long non-coding RNA from Sceloporus undulatus (fence lizard), 521 nucleotides. RefSeq lists it as uncharacterized. Lineage: Eukaryota; Metazoa; Chordata; Lepidosauria; Squamata; Phrynosomatidae. The transcript is spliced from 3 exons. The record is from RefSeq and is a predicted model, not a curated record.
UUUUUUCUGCAACCCUUUGUCCUGAACUUGGGUUUUCAGAAAACCAAAAAGGAAGCUGAAUUUCCACCAGAGAAGAUGGCAUUGUAUUGGGAUAGCCUGUAGAAAUGUGCCUGUGUCAAGUUAUCUGCUUGCUUUAAAUGUCUCAUCAUUCCCCUUUUGUGGCCUUGUGCAGAUUAAGAAGACUUCUUAUUGGUUUACUUCGCAAGUUCUAGUAUCACAUAGCUUUAUAAUGGUGGACAUCAUUGAUAAUCAGUCUGUGAAUGACCUCUGAUGAAUAUAUGCUGAGGACAAGGAAUUGGUUGGAUAUGAGUUGCAAUAUCAUCACUAAUGAACACAAACAGCUGAACACAUCUGGUAGCUUCAACUGGAUUUCUUCAUUCCCUUGAAAUGGUAUUUUGAACACAAUUGGCUCAGUUCUCAUUGGAUGAAGCUAAUUUUUACAUUAAAAAGAGCAAACUUUUUUGAUAUUGCUGGAUUUGUUCCAUUAAUAAUUUUUUGAAUAAAAAUUGCAUUUGAUUUAA